UUCACUUGUAUCCAGAGAUCACAGGGUAGACUGAAGAUAGUCAAAGGGGGGCGAUGGCGUGUGGAGAGAGAAAGAGAGAGAGAGAGGAUAGAAACGAAGAAACAACAUAGACAAUCCUUUGCAGUUGAUUGAAAAUGGAUUCCUGUCAGAUUCAGGGUCCCUCUCAGUAGCCGAAGAUUCUCUGGACCUCACUAUACACCCUAAGGCAGCUGUGAACUCCUGGCAAUACCCUGCUCCACCCAGCUCAGAUUUCAGGUUGAACCCAUCAUGCUUAGGUUAUAAUUCUCUUUAGCUGGAACAUGACAAAAAGCAUCAAGAACUGAGGACGACCACAACCAAACAACAAGACAAGAAUAGGCAGCUGACUCCCUGUCAGGAGAUGAACCACCCCUCACACACCAGCCAGGGUCCAGGUGAAACUGCAGAGGAACUCAUGAGAUGAGCAAGAGGCUUCCAUGGAGAGCCUGACACCCUGGGCCAGGAUGAUGGAGACAGACUCUGAGGACACUCAGAACACACCAAAGCAGAACUUCAGAAGCUAUGGCUCAGGGAAGUUUGCAGAAGAGGGUGUGGAAAGAAUAUAAGGCCCACAGGGUGGGAAGGACUAUCCAGAGACAUAGCCCCUCUCCACAAUAGCAGACUGCUGCUCUCACAAUGAAAGCCCACAACUACAUGUUGCAUACCAACAAUUCCACCAAGGAUGGCCUUCAGUGGAGUGGGGAAGGGAGGAGGGAAAUGAUGGUUUCUAUACAAAGUUUCUACUUCAUUAAAAAAUAAUAAUAAAUAAAUAAAAAUUGUCUGA
Long non-coding RNA from Jaculus jaculus (lesser Egyptian jerboa), 802 nucleotides. RefSeq lists it as uncharacterized. NCBI's taxonomy places the organism in Eukaryota, Metazoa, Chordata, Mammalia, Rodentia, Dipodidae. The transcript has 3 exons. The record is from RefSeq and is a predicted model, not a curated record.